Molecule: ribosomal RNA, 503 nt
Filed under: uncultured bacterium
Lineage: Bacteria
Description: partial 16S ribosomal RNA
Rfam family: Bacterial small subunit ribosomal RNA
Source: RNAcentral
AUUGAACGCUGGCGGCAGGCUUAACACAUGCAAGUCGAUCGGAGUGAUGGUGCUUGCACUAUCACUUAGCGGCGGACGGGUGCGUAAUGCUUAGGAAUCUGCCCAUUAGUGGGGGACAACAUCUCGAAAGGGAUGCUAAUACCGCAUACGUCCUACGGGUGAAAGCAGGGGAUCACUUGUGACCUUGCGCUAAUAGAUGAGCCUAAGUCGGAUUAGCUAGUUGGUGGGGUAAAGGCUUACCAAGGCGACGAUCUGUAGUGGGUCGGAGAGGAUGGUCCGCCACACUGGGACUGAGAAACGGCCCAGACUCCUACGGGAGGCAGCAGUGGGGAAUAUAGGACAAUGGGGGGAACCCUGAUCCAGCCAUGCCGCGUGUGUGAAGAAGGCCUUAUGGUUGUAAAGCACUUUAAGCGAGGAGGAGGCUGUUUUGGUUAAUACCCAAGAUGAGUGGACGUUACUCGCAGAAUAAGCACCGGCUAACUCUGUGCCAGCCGCCGCGGUAA